This 450-nucleotide ribosomal RNA is filed under the name uncultured bacterium. Its description in RNAcentral is "partial 16S ribosomal RNA". It matches the Rfam family "Bacterial small subunit ribosomal RNA", at positions 354 to 796 of the family's 1533-position model. The record is from RNAcentral.
GUGGGGAAUUUUGGACAAUGGGCGCAAGCCUGAUCCAGCAAUGCCGCGUGCAGGAAGAAGGCCUUCGGGUUGUAAACUGCUUUUGUACGGAACGAAACGGUCCGGGUUAAUACCCUGGGCUAAUGACGGUACCGUAAGAAUAAGCACCGGCUAACUACGUGCCAGCAGCCGCGGUAAUACGUAGGGUGCAAGCGUUAAUCGGAAUUACUGGGCGUAAAGCGUGCGCAGGCGGUUUUGUAAGAUCGAUGUGAAAUCCCCGGGCUCAACCUGGGAACUGCAUUGGUGACUGCAAGGCUGGAGUGCGGCAGAGGGGGAUGGAAUUCCGCGUGUAGCAGUGAAAUGCGUAGAUAUGCGGAGGAACACCGAUGGCGAAGGCAAUCCCCUGGGCCUGCACUGACGCUCAUGCACGAAAGCGUGGGGAGCAAACAGGAUUAGAAACCCCGGUAGUCC